RNAcentral lists this transfer RNA (69 nucleotides) under Rattus norvegicus (Norway rat). It matches the Rfam family "tRNA". From Rfam's summary of the family: Transfer RNA (tRNA) molecules are approximately 80 nucleotides in length. Their secondary structure includes four short double-helical elements and three loops (D, anti-codon, and T loops). The record is from Rfam by way of RNAcentral. Lineage: Eukaryota; Metazoa; Chordata; Mammalia; Rodentia; Muridae.
GGGGAUUUAGCUCAGCGGUAGAGCACUUGCCUAGCAAGCGCAAGGCCCUGGGUUCGAACCCCAGCUCCG